This 258-nucleotide ribosomal RNA is filed under the name uncultured archaeon. Its description in RNAcentral is "partial 16S ribosomal RNA". It matches the Rfam family "Archaeal small subunit ribosomal RNA", at positions 748 to 1005 of the family's 1478-position model. The record is from RNAcentral.
CAGCCGUAAACAAUGUGCGUUAGGUGUGUCGGUAACCACGCGUUACUGAUGCGCCGAAGAGAAAUCGUGAAACGCACCACCUGGGAAGUACGGUCGCAAGGCUGAAACUUAAAGGAAUUGGCGGGGGAGCACCACAACAGGUGGAGCCUGCGGUUUAAUUGGAUUCAACGCCGGACAUCUCACCGGAUAAGACAGCUGAAUGAUUGUCAAUCUGAAGGUUUUACAUGACUAGCUGAGAGGAGGUGCAUGGCGUCAGUG